CCUACGGGUGGCAGCAGUGAGGAAUAUUGGUCAAUGGGCGAGAGCCUGAACCAGCCAAGUCGCGUGAGGGAGUACUGCCCUAUGGGUUGUAAACCUCUUUUGUCGGGGAGCAAAAGCCGGACGUGUCCGGCUGUGAGAGUACCCGCAGAAAAAGCAUCGGCUAACUCCGUGCCAGCAGCCGCGGUAAUACGGAGGAUGCGAUCGUUCUCCGGAUUUUUUGGGUUUAAAGGGUACGCAGGCGGAUUUUUAAGUCAGCGGUAAAAGCGUGGGGCUCAACCCCAUCCAGCCGUUGAAACUGGGGAUCUAGAGUGUGCGAGAGGUAUGCGGAAUGCGUGGUGUAGAGGUGAAAUGCAUAGAUAUCACGCAGAACCCCGAUUGCGAAGGCAGCAUACCGGUGCACAACUGACGCUCAGGCACGAAAGCGUGGGUAUCGAACAGGAUUAGAUACCCCGGUAGUC
This 458-nucleotide ribosomal RNA is filed under the name uncultured bacterium. RNAcentral's name for it is "partial 16S ribosomal RNA". It matches the Rfam family "Bacterial small subunit ribosomal RNA", at positions 338 to 795 of the family's 1533-position model. The record is from RNAcentral.